UGAAUACGAAAUGCUACGGCAUUGAAGUGGUCUAUGCCAGUCUUCCAAGAAAAUCUCGUCAUAUCUUAAGCAGUAGAUGCCUGUACCUUAAACCGACACAGGUAGGUAGGUAGAGUAUACCAGGGGGCGCGAGAUAACUCUCUCUAAGGAACUCGGCAAAAUAACCUCGUAACUUCGGAAGAAGAGGUACCCUUGAAAAAGGGUUGCAAUAACCAGACCCUGGCGACUGUUUACCAAAAACACAGGUCUCCGCUAAUUCGUAAGAUCAAGUAUGGAGGCUGACGCCUGCCCAGUGCCGGAAGGUUAAAGAAGUUGGUCAAUCUUUGAUGAGGCUGGCGACUGAAGCCCCGGUGAACGGCGGCCGUAACAAUAACGGUCCUAAGGUAGCGAAGUUCCUUGUCGGGUAAGUUCCGACCCGCACGAAAGGCGUAACGAUCAGGGUGCUGUCUCGGAGAGAGACUCGGCGAAGUAGACAUGUCUGUGAAGAUGCGGACUACCUGCACCUGGACAAAAGACCCUAUGAAGCUUUAUUGUAUCUUGGAAUUGGGUUUGGGCCUUGCUUGCGCAGGAUAGGUGGGAGGCUGUGUAGAUAUUCUUGCGGGAAUGUUGGAGCCAACGGUGAGAUACCACUCUAGUAAGGCUAAAAUUCUAACUCUGAACCGUUAUCCGGUCAGAGAACAGUUUCAGGUGGGCAGUUUGACUGGUCGGUCGCCUCCUAAAAGGUAACGGAGGCGCGCAAGGGUUCCCUCAGGCUGGUUGGACAUCAGUCGUAGAGUGUAAAGGCAUAAGGGAGCUUGACUGCGAGACCCACAAGUCGAGCAGAGACGAAAGUCGGCCUUAGUGAUCCGACGGUUCCACGUGGAAGGGCCGUCGCUCAACGGAUAAAAGUUACUCUAAGGAUAACAGGCUGAUCUCCCCCAAGAGUUCACAUCGACGGGGAGGUUUGGCACCUCGAUGUCGGCUCAUCGCAUCCUGGGGCGGUAGUACGUCCCAAGGGUUGGGCUGUUCGCCCAUGAAAGCGGUACGCGAGCUGGGUUCAGAACGUCGUGAGACAGUUCGGUCCAUAUCCGGUGCAGGCGUUAGAGCAUUGAGAGGAGUCCCCCUUAGUACGAGAGGACCGGGGGGAAUACACCGCUGGUGUACCAGUUAUCGUGCCAACGGUAAACGCUGGGUAGCCAUGUGUAGCGCGGAUAACUGCUGAAAGCAUCUAAGUAGGAAGCCCACCUUAAGAUGAGUGCUCUCACCGCUAUAAGCGGGUAAGGUCACGGUAAGAACAACCGUUAUAUAGGCAUUAAGUAUACGUGCAGUAAUGCAUUUAGCUGAGAUGUACUAACAGACCGAGGGCUUGAC
This 1350-nucleotide ribosomal RNA is filed under the name metagenome. Its description in RNAcentral is "bacterial LSU rRNA". It matches the Rfam family "Bacterial large subunit ribosomal RNA", at positions 1564 to 2925 of the family's 2925-position model. The record is from RNAcentral.